UGCUUCUGCUGCUUCCAUCACUAGAAACUCCUUAUGAAUUUUUGUUCUGUUUUUUAAAUGUUUUUAAAAACACAUAGGGGCAGGAGCACCUGGGUGGCUCAGUUGUGUAAACUGCUGCCUUCAGCUCAGGGCAUGAUUUCAGAGUCCCAGGACUGGGAUAGAGCCACGCAUCAGGCUCCCUGCUCUGUGGGGAGUCUGCUUCUCCCUCUGCCCUUCUCCCUGCUCAUGCUCAAUUUCUCAAAUAAAUAAAUUGAUAUUAAAAAAAAGAUUAUACACACGCACACACACACACUGGUUUCUGCAGAGGUCUGUUCCCUCCCUUCAGUGGCAGGAAUUCAUGGUUGUAUGGAUUAACUCUGGGCAAGAAUUAGGUAAGGAGCUCCCACUGGUGGUGGAGGAAACCCCACCAGCCACAGGAGAUGCGUCUCCUUAUUUGUGCUCCAAGAAUGCAUCUCUGAGUCAUGGACAAAAAGUGUGCCAAUAGUGCUCUUUCAUCAUGUGAUUAAACAACAAAAAAGUCAUGCCAUUGCUCUCUGAGGUGGUUCCAGCUCUGAGUCACAGCUGACAAUAAGCCCGAGGUGUGGGCAUUGCCACCAACACUUCAUUAGUCCUCACAUGUCAGGAGGGGCUCCGCAGGCCCUGCCAUCAAACUUUGAGGGACCCUAAAGCUACCAUUGGAAGCCCUGCACUUCUCUCAGCUUCAGACAGACUUUAUUGCCUUUAUCACUCGUUUACAUUUAACCAGGAAAUGUGCAGCAUUUCAAAGUUGAAGUCUCUCUAAACCACUUUUGGGGAAUAAAGAGAUUCUUUGCAUGUACCAGAGAUGAGUUGUCAAAUGUUUUGGCUAGGGAGUUGAGCCCCAGGAACUGACAGCCUGUAUCCCUGAGGCACAUCUAGGUUACUCUUCUGUUCUGGGUCCCUCUUUCUACAUUACACUUUCCCAUAGAUAAUAUUCCGCAACCAUCACCUUACAUGGGAGCAUCUUUAUUGCAAUCACCAAGAAUGUUAACAAAUAUAACCUAUGUGACAAACACAACAGAAAAGAAGCAAUGUUGGAUUUAUAUGGAAGAAAAAAGUAGGUUCUUCUUGCAACUGAUGUCUUGGAUUAAGGCAUUUUGGUACAUGUGUCCAAAUAGCCACAGAGAACAGGAAAAGUUUGAGCUGGUAUAGACUUAAAGUAACAGGAACGGUUUUCAAAGAAAGGAGCAAGUCAUCAAGUAAUGAACCAAAAGUGAAAUUCCAUUACAUUCAGCUUACUUUUAAAUCCAGAGCUUCUUGGUAUCACUUGUAUCACAACUCAAUACAAAAUUUCAGCUGGAUGUUCUUGUGAUCUGGGUUAGGUAAACUUGGUGGGAUUUCUGAAACAACUAGAGGACUUGAAGCAUAUUCUUUAGGUUCCACCUUGAUAGCUUGUGUGACACCUGCACUCAGACUUGAUUCACGGUACAAAAUGGUUUUUCUCUGUUAUUUCUAGAGCCUAAAGUUUGUAAGACGGGUUGCAGAAGUACUGGUUUGAUUAAAAGGGUAGUUUAAUGGAGUACCUGUGUGGCUCAGUGGGUCGAGCAUCCACCUUAGGCUCAGGUCUGUGAUCCUGGGUCCUGGGAUCGAGUCCCACAUAAGACCCCCUGAGGGGAGCCUGCUUCUCCCUCUGCCUAUGUCUCUGUCUCUUUCUCUCUCUGUGUUUCUCAUGAAUUAUAUAUAUAUAAAUUUUUUUAAAGAAGGUAGGUUUUAGAUCAACUGCACCGGAUCCUUAACGAUCACUGGCAAUGUAAGCUCUUAUGUCCCAUAAAUACAAAGUCCAUUUCCUGGAAUUACUUAGAUACCAAAAAAGGAAAUCUGGAAAACAAAAAGGACACUGAAUAGCGUGGUUGGGAGAGAUGUAUUGGGAAGACUUAACUCAAAAAAAAGCUCUCGAAGCAAACUUUCUAGUACUGCCUAAUAUUGAAAGGCACGGGUAAUAAACUUCAUGCCCUCCUGUCCUUUCUCCUGUGGCCUGUUUAUGCUUUGCUCAGUUGAAGCUUCCUUUGGUAAGUACAAUGCAAAGCAUGUACACGCACAUACCUCAUCUUGCACCACACACAACUGACAGGGCUAUUCUGAAAAAGCUGCCACGGAUAUAGGGGCCUACAAGGUAUCACAGGGGACAGGGUGGAUCAAUUCUCAUUCUUUGAACCUUUGUAUAUUCACAGACUACAAAGGGGAAAGCAAAGGACAAUCUUGCAAAGGCACAGGUGACAUUUCCCCGGCAGGCCUGCUGCCAGUGGGCCAGUUGCCAGCAGAGCUCUUCCCACAGUUCCCUUCCUGCCAGGGAGAAUUCGGGAUCGACGUUUAAAAUGUGGGGAAGUGGGUUAUAGUGCAGGCUGGCUUUGCUCACAACAGUGCCCUCUAUUCCCCGAAAAGGGUGGCCUGGCAGCAAUGCAGUGACAAUUGCUUAUUGUACUGGAGAGCCGUAAUUAUGGGUAUCUUUUAAUAGAAUGGCAUAUUUUCCCAAAGAGUUUGGGACAUACUACAUUUUGACUGAAUAUAAAUUGGGAUUCAUGCAUAAACACACUCACAAAUUCACAAUAUUUUGUCUGUAUAUCAUUUUAUUUCAUUUUUUAUUAAAAAUUUUAAAGUUUUUUUUUUAUUUAUUUAUUCAUAGAGAUGAAGAGAGAGAGAGAGAGGCAGAGACACAGGCAGAGGGAGAAGCAGGCUCUAUGCAGGGAGCCUGACCUGAGACUCGAUCCAGGGUCUCCAGGAUCACGCCCUGGGCUGCAGGCGGCGCUAAACUGCUGCACCACUGGGGCUGCCCGUCUGUAUAUCAUUUUAAUAGCUGACACUCGAGUUCUACUCAAAAAGAGUCUGUCUUUGUUUUGGCAAAUGCAUUGCCAGGCACUUAGAUUUUGGAUAGGGUGAUUCUAAGAUUAAUGUCUUAAGGGAGACAACAGAGAUAGCUUAAUUGAGUGGAAAUGAGGGGGUGCCGAGAGAAGUGGGGAAAGAGGAAAGGCAAUGGCAGGAGACUGGAAUGUACAGAGUCAAGUGCCCAGAAAUAUGUCCCCGUGGAUGAAUAGCAAAUGACAUUUUAACAGUGAGCUCUGCUAUAUCCACACAUGACUUGCAUAGAGUGUUGUGUGCAAUCAAGUUUAUAAUGGAUAAGGCACUAAGUUUCAAAACGAUUUUGAAAGGACUUAUUUUUUCUUCACCUUCGAGACUGUGGAGGAAAAAUUGGUGAGGAUUCCAAUUUUGGGCUGGAGAAAAAAAAGAAAAGAGGUGAAGAGGGACUUGGAACCAGAUCUCGCCUUGUAUAUGUCAACUUCUAGGAUGUUACAGAAGUCUUUUUCAAAAGUUGGGGAAGCAGAUGGUUUGAUUCAAAUGUAUCUAAACCCCCAAGAACUCAGAAACCAUCAUUGAUAUAUGUAUGGAUGAUUAAUGAUUUACUCACAUUCAAUGUAAAUAUUUUUACAAAAUCCAGUUCACUGCUUUAUUUUCAUAGAAGUCAUGCUCCCCCCCACCCUCUAAAAAAUCCCCUCCCCACAUAUACACUAAAUUGAUGGAGAAUGGUGUGAUCCUUCUCUCUCUUGCCAUCUCUCAUAGGAAUGUGAUAUCUUCACACCUGACUUUUUUACUUCGUGGGUGUAUAGCCCAUUAUGGGCUACCCUAGGACACUGUACUGAAGGAAUCAAUAGAGCAGAACAGGUGAUCAGAAGAUGAUGAUUUCUAGCAACACAUAGGACUUUAUUUCCAAAGAGGUCAGUGAGAUGGAGCAAGACUUCCUAAAACAUUUUUUUUUUCUGUUUUACAGAAAAGGGCAAACUAAUUAUUGUUCCCUGCAAAUCCUUGUUAUACAUAAUCAGACACAUCAAUAAAAAUGGAAACAUACUUAAGAAAUUGUGUGGCCCAAUCUCCUAAUUUCAAAGAUGAGAAAACAAAAGCCCAGAGAAGUCUCCAUAACCAGUUCGUACAUGCUUAAGAAUUUAAUAGGAUUGUUGUAGUUAGACACAGGAUUUGCUUUAAAUUACCCGUGGUUUAAUCUUUUCCCUACUUUGAAACUUUCAUGAAAUACAAAAUAGACGUCCAAUAUAAAGUGACUAACAAUUGCAAAUAAAGUUCAACUAUUUUCACAUCAAUGUUUAGUUUAGAAGUAGUUUCUGUUUUUCACAACAAUGUGGAGCAUACACACACACCUACCCACGUAGAUUCACCUCCUCUGUCCAAGUAUCAUUAACUUAUUGGAGUAAUUUAGGAAUAACAACAUAUACAAGAUCUAAGUUUCAUGCUCUAGAUAAAUUAUUACAGAUAAAAUUGAAGACACAUACAAAAUAUCUGGAGAAAAUAUCAGUGGAAGCUUUGGGAAGGUAUAUUCUAGAGCUCUUAUAGUUAAUAAAAUAAAAAGAUCACUCAUCAGGAACUCAAAGUUCCUCCUUUCCAUCAGUCUUGGUUUUGCUCCGGUCACCAUGAUCUUCAUAAGAAGCAAUCUUGGAAACCCCAUGUUCAUCAUUUAUAUAUCCCCAAAUCCAGGUUCUUAUUUCUAAUUGUUUGUCAGAUACUGAUUACUUUUCUGAAACAACAGAAAAAAAAAAAAAAGCCCAAAAAACAAAAAACACACUCAAACCAAAAAGACAAAACAAAACCAAUCACCUCAUCUCUUUCUAGAAUCCAGUCUUUUUUUCCCUUAAACCUGGACUGUCAAAGUACAGGUCUCACCGGACCACUGAUCUAAUUCUUCCUUUCCUUCUUGUUCUCUCUGUGUCAGAGGUGUCCUGUUGUCUUGGUCACUAUUAAUUCCUGGGCUAUGUAUAGUGUCUAGAAUAUAUUAGGGGAUGAACAAUUAUUUCCUUAGCAUUCCAUAUAAUUUUGCAACAUCAUCACCUGGCUCAUUUGCCUAAAUUGUCACAGUAUCACUUUGGUGCUUAAAAUUCUUUCAUUAUUGCCCAUUACAGAUAUAAUAAACCAUAUAGUUUUCUUUUAAAGCUUGGAUUUUCACUGUCCUCUCUCCUGUCCUGUCCAAAUGCUCUCAAUUUACAUUUCCUCUAACCUUAUGCAUACAUUUAGUCCUUCUUUUCAUGUACACCUUCGAUGAUGUCACCGUACACCCUAUGCCUUCUGUGCUUCCACUGAAGUCUGGUGACACCACCUCCAUCAAAACUCCCCUGCAGAUAGGCACCCCACACUCAGCCUGCACCAACUCUCCUGGUCUCCCAAAGACUGGCUUUCCUUCUCCUUCUCCUUCUCCUUUUUCCGUAUGGCACCCCUGCCCCACCUUGUCAUAGGAUGUAAGGACUUGGCUCAUUUUGUUUCUUUUCCUCAACUCCAAUCCAAUCAUCCAAACAGUGCCACCAUGUAAUUUUUAAUUUUCUUAACUUUUACCUUUUACAUUUUUAUAUUAAUUUCUCUCUAAAUUCAAGGAAACAUUGUGUGCAGCCCGAAAUAUUACACUCUAUCUUUGCUUCUUUAUAGUCCUUUCUCUCUGCUUCUUGGAGCUGGCUGGCGCCUUGGGAAACAAUGGGAGGGAAAAAUGUCAUGGCACUGCCCACUGGGA
RNAcentral lists this long non-coding RNA (5518 nucleotides) under Canis lupus familiaris (dog). RNAcentral's name for it is "lncRNA (ENSCAFG00845027896.1)". Lineage: Eukaryota; Metazoa; Chordata; Mammalia; Carnivora; Canidae. The record is from RNAcentral.